This 301-nucleotide ribosomal RNA is filed under the name uncultured bacterium. RNAcentral's name for it is "partial 16S ribosomal RNA". It matches the Rfam family "Bacterial small subunit ribosomal RNA", at positions 509 to 809 of the family's 1533-position model. The record is from RNAcentral.
CAGCCGCCGCGGGAAUACGUAGGGUGCAAGCGUUAAUCGGAAUUACUGGGCGUAAAGCGUGCGCAGGCGGUUUGUUAAGACAGAUGUGGAAUCCCCGGGCUCAACCUGGGAACUGCAUUUGUGACUGGCAAGCUAGAGUGUGGCAGAGGGGGGUGGAAUUCCGCGUGUAGCAGUGAAAUGCGUAGAUAUGCGGAGGAACACCGAUGGCGAAGGCAGCCCCCUGGGCCAACACUGACGCUCAUGCACGAAAGCGUGGGGAGCAAACAGGAUUAGAUACCCCCGUAGUCCCUGUCUCUUAUAA